UGUGUAGGCGGCUACGAAAGUCGGAUGUGAAAGCCCCGGGCUCAACCCGGGAAGUGCACCCGAUACUGCGUGGCUCGAGUACCGGAGAGGUUGGUGGAAUUCUCGGUGUAGAGGUGAAAUUCGUAGAUAUCGAGAGGAACACCGGUGGCGAAGGCGGCCAACUGGACGAGUACUGACGCUGAGACACGAAAGCGUGGGGAGCAAACAGGAUUAGAUACCCUGGUAGUCCACGCCGUAAACGAUGGGUGCUAGGUGUCACGGGCUUUGACUCCUGUGGUGCCGUAGCCAACGCAUUAAGCACCCCGCCUGGGAAGUACGGCCGCAAGGCUAAA
This 332-nucleotide ribosomal RNA is filed under the name uncultured bacterium. Its description in RNAcentral is "bacterial SSU rRNA". It matches the Rfam family "Bacterial small subunit ribosomal RNA", at positions 568 to 898 of the family's 1533-position model. The record is from RNAcentral.